This 495-nucleotide ribosomal RNA is filed under the name uncultured bacterium. RNAcentral's name for it is "partial 16S ribosomal RNA". It matches the Rfam family "Bacterial small subunit ribosomal RNA", at positions 28 to 507 of the family's 1533-position model. The record is from RNAcentral.
GACGAACGCUGGCGGCGUGCCUAAUACAUGCAAGUAGAACGCUGAAGGAGGAGCUUGCUUCUCUGGAUGAGUUGCGAACGGGUGAGUAACGCGUAGGUAACCUGCCUGGUAGCGGGGGAUAACUAUUGGAAACGAUAGCUAAUACCGCAUAAUAUUGACUAUUGCAUGAUAGUCAGUUGGAAGGUGCAACUGCACCACUACCAGAUGGACCUGCGUUGUAUUAGCUAGUUGGUGGGGUAACGGCUCACCAAGGCGACGAUACAUAGCCGACCUGAGAGGGUGAUCGGCCACACUGGGACUGAGACACGGCCCAGACUCCUACGGGAGGCAGCAGUAGGGAAUCUUCGGCAAUGGACGGAAGUCUGACCGAGCAACGCCGCGUGAGUGAAGAAGGUUUUCGGAUCGUAAAGCUCUGUUGUAAGAGAAGAACGAGUGUGAGAGUGGAAAGCUCACACUGUGACGGUAUCUUACCAGAAAGGGACGGCUAACUACGUG